RNAcentral lists this ribosomal RNA (497 nucleotides) under uncultured bacterium. Its description in RNAcentral is "partial 16S ribosomal RNA". It matches the Rfam family "Bacterial small subunit ribosomal RNA", at positions 28 to 507 of the family's 1533-position model. The record is from RNAcentral.
GAUGAACGCUGGCGGCGUGCCUAAUACAUGCAAGUCGAGCGAAUGGACGAGAAGCUUGCUUCUCUGAUGUUAGCGGCGGACGGGCGAGUAACACGUGGAUAACCUACCUAUAAGACUGGGAUAACUUCGGGAAACCGGAGCUAAUACCGGAUAAUAUUUUGAACCGCAUGGUUCAAAAGUAAAAGACGGUCUUGCUGUCACUUAUAGAUGGAUCCGCGCUGCAUUAGCUAGUUGGUAAGGUAACGGCUUACCAAGGCAACGAUGCAUAGCCGACCUGAGAGGGUGAUCGGCCACACUGGAACUGAGACACGGUCCAGACUCCUACGGGAGGCAGCAGUAGGGAAUCUUCCGCAAUGGGCGAAAGCCUGACGGAGCAACGCCGCGUGAGUGAUGAAGGUCUUCGGAUCGUAAAACUCUGUUAUUAGGGAAGAACAUAUGUGUAAGUAACUGUGCACAUCUUGACGGUACCUAAUCAGAAAGCCACGGCUAACUACGUG